Molecule: non-coding RNA, 22 nt
Filed under: Mus musculus (house mouse)
Lineage: Eukaryota; Metazoa; Chordata; Mammalia; Rodentia; Muridae
Source: RNAcentral
UGAGGUAGUAGUGUGUACAGUU